RNAcentral lists this small RNA (1369 nucleotides) under Arabidopsis thaliana (thale cress). RNAcentral describes it as "ATSL107500". The record is from RNAcentral. Lineage: Eukaryota; Viridiplantae; Streptophyta; Magnoliopsida; Brassicales; Brassicaceae.
UUUGUUUUUCAUCAUUUGGCAUGCAAAAAGCAAGAAACAAAAUGAACCUAAUUAAAAGGAGACAUUCCACUCGAUUAUGGCAUAAGGCAUUCCAAGACUCACGCGAUCAAAUAAGGAGUCCAAAGACUGCUAGACCAAAAAGGCCAGAGAUAUUGUAUAGAGAACCAAGGAAAGUCCAUGGAUCCUUCCAAAAGGAGAUACAUCGAGUCAUCGACCAUGACAGAGCCUCAAGAUUUGGUUCAAGGGGUCUCCGAAAAUGGCAAAUGUAAUUCAGCUGAGGGUUUAGUUCCAUAAAGCUCGCUACAAUUAAAAUUAAACCUGUAAGGAUUUCUUGACCUCAAGCUGUCGACUUAACUUGAGAGUAAGCCCCACAAAACCAAGAACAGAAAGGACGGAUAAGAGCUUGAAUGAGAGACAGAGAAAACAGAUCAAUAGGUGAGUGUUUUUGUGUGUGAGAUAAUAAGAAGAACACAGAGAGUUUGUUAACCCAGUUCACCACCGAAGUAGCUACGUCUGGGUCGAGUAUGAUACUCGGAAUCCACUAGGUUCAAUAUAGAACUUACACCUAGAAACAAUAAGUGACGCACACCAAUGCCCUUCACUAGCACUUGAUGUUCACUCUAUGUGUUUCUAGCCUUAGAGAAUACAAGAAAAGUUUAAGCUUAUUACAAGUAUUCUCUCCUUAGUCUAUAUCACUCAAUCUCACUCUACACUCUCUCAAACCUAACAAGCCUCUUAUAUAGCAACAAGAGGUAACCUAUGCAAUGACCUAAAGCAGCCGCUCCUCUCACUUUGUCGCUGAGCACAGCUCAUAGGAGUCGCCAUCACCAAAUCAAGACAAAGACUGCUUUAACCAAUUGGGAGCACCAGAGGACGAACGAGUACGGACUCCUUGCUGUAAAUGUAGCCGUUUCCCCUAUCUGUGGUCCCAAAAGCAGUUUCACCAUGGUCUCAUUUACAUUCACCUCAGUAAAACAUUUAAAUCCAAUGAGUCAUCAUCUUGAUGGGACUAGUAGCUUGAUCAUCAAGGUUUCAUCUUCACAAAUCUCCACCUGAAACUUGAUGAUAAAACCAAAAACUUGCACAAACUGUCAAUGAGAGAGAUAAGAGAGUACCCCGAGAACCUAGUUGUAGGAUUCCAUACUCGGAUUCCUCCUGAGUUUUACUACUCAGGCUUGACCUGUAACAAGGUCAAAGCCGCCUGAAACUUGUUUACAGGCACGAUCUUGGUGAAGAUAUCAGCUGGAUUCUUUUCAGUGUCAAUCUUCACCACAUCACCAUCACCAUUAGCAAUUAUGUCCCGAAUAUAUUGAUAUCGAACAUCUAUAUGCUUCGUUCUUUCAUGAUGAACAUUAUUCUUGGAGAGUGC